This 427-nucleotide ribosomal RNA is filed under the name uncultured bacterium. RNAcentral's name for it is "bacterial SSU rRNA". It matches the Rfam family "Bacterial small subunit ribosomal RNA", at positions 355 to 774 of the family's 1533-position model. The record is from RNAcentral.
UGGGGAAUUUUGGACAAUGGGCGCAAGCCUGAUCCAGCCAUGCCGCGUGAGUGAAGAAGGCCUUCGGGUUGUAAAGCUCUUUCGGACGGGAAGAAAUGGCGGGCUCUAACAUAGCCUGUCGAUGACGGUACCGUAAGAAGAAGCACCGGCUAACUACGUGCCAGCAGCCGCGGUAAUACGAAGGGGGCUAGCGUUGCUCGGAAUCACUGGGCGUAACGGGCGCGUAGGCGGACAUUUAAGUCAGGGGUGAAAUCCCGGGGCUCAACCUCGGAAUUGCCUUUGAUACUGGGUGUCUCGAGACCGGAAGAGGUAAGUGGAACUGCGAGUGUAGAGGUGAAAUUCGUAGAUAUUCGCAAGAACACCAGUGGCGAAGGCGGCUUACUGCUCCGGUUCUGACGCUGAGGCGCGAAAGCGUGGGGAGCAAACA